UAACGUAUGCAGCUGGAGGGCAACUUCAAUCUGAUUUGUUUUUCAGGCCCUCCUGUGUUUUGCAUUCCAUUUUCCAGCCUGUACUAGGACUGAAAUCCUACUCAUGAAGACACCACUGAAUGGGCUCUGCUCACAGAGCUAUUUUUCAUUUGCCAUGGUGGUGAAUAUCUUUUGGGAUUCAGCACCAAGGAUAGUUCCUGUAAAGUUCAGAAGGAAAGCUGCAAUGGCUAAGGAACGUAAUUAGCACAGAAGUCACCAUCUUUCCCUGGGGUUACACUGUCAGCUAAAGAACCCCUAAACAACUCUGAUUAGACUGCACAAUAAAUGCUCCAUGUAGAAAAGCUCUCAGGAGUUUUUCUGGCUUCCAGUGAGAACAGAUACAGCAUCAUGGAAAUUAAAUAUAAAACACAAUAGGGGCAUAGCUCUGUAACUAUAAUCUACCUCCUUAAUAAUAACAGCCAACCACAUCAACAGGUUUUAAAAAAUUGGACUACCUUUGGAGGCAGAUGAACUCUCCUGAAAAUACUAGUUCUUUAUUCACCAUCAUCUCUUUCAUGAAUGGUCAUUAAUAGAACUCAGAGCAUG
Long non-coding RNA from Varanus komodoensis (Komodo dragon), 585 nucleotides. RefSeq lists it as uncharacterized. The transcript is spliced from 2 exons. The record is from RefSeq and is a predicted model, not a curated record. NCBI's taxonomy places the organism in Eukaryota, Metazoa, Chordata, Lepidosauria, Squamata, Varanidae.